GGUUUGACGGUACCUUUAAAGGAAGCACCGGCUAACUCCGUGCCAGCAGCCGCGGUAAUACGGGGGGUGCAAGCGUUGUUCGGAAUUAUUGGGCGUAAAGCGCGUGUAGGCGGUCUGAUUAGUCUGAUGUGGAAGCCCUGGGCUCAACCCAGGAAGUGCAUUGGAUACUGUCAGACUUGAAUACGGGAGAGGGUAGUGGAAUUCCUAGUGUAGGAGUGAAAUCCGUAGAUAUUAGGAGGGACACCGGUGGCGAAGGCGGCUACCUGGACCGAUAUUGACGCUGAGACGCGAAAGCGUGGGUAGCAAACAGGAUUAGAKACCCAGGUAGUCCACGCCGUAAACGAUGAGAACUAGGUGUCGCGGGUA
RNAcentral lists this ribosomal RNA (366 nucleotides) under uncultured Geobacteraceae bacterium. Its description in RNAcentral is "bacterial SSU rRNA". It matches the Rfam family "Bacterial small subunit ribosomal RNA", at positions 466 to 831 of the family's 1533-position model. The record is from RNAcentral. Lineage: Bacteria; Pseudomonadati; Thermodesulfobacteriota; Desulfuromonadia; Geobacterales; Geobacteraceae.